This 230-nucleotide ribosomal RNA is filed under the name uncultured bacterium. RNAcentral describes it as "partial 16S ribosomal RNA". It matches the Rfam family "Bacterial small subunit ribosomal RNA", at positions 103 to 334 of the family's 1533-position model. The record is from RNAcentral.
CGGGUGAGUAACGCGGUGGUAACUGCCUCAUACAGGGGGAUAACAGUUAGAAAUGACUGCUAAUACCGCAUAAGCGCACAGGGUCGCAUGACCUGGUGUGAAAAACUCCGGUGGUAUGAGAUGGACCCGCGUCUGAUUAGCUAGUUGGCGAGGUAACGGCCCACCAAGGCGACGAUCAGUAGCCGACCUGAGAGGGUGAUCGGCCACAUUGGGACUGAGACACGGCCCAA